GAUCAUGGCUCAGGAUGAACGCUAGCUACAGGCUUAACACAUGCAAGUCGAGGGGCAGCGGGAAGUCAGCUUGCUGACUUUGCCGGCGACCGGCGCACGGGUGAGUAACACGUAUCCAACCUUCCAGUUACUCUGGAAUAGCCUUUCGAAAGAAAGAUUAAUACCGGAUAGUAUCGAGAGAUUGCAUGAUUACCCGAUUAAAGAUUCAUCGGUAACGGAUGGGGAGUGCGUUCCAUUAGG
Molecule: ribosomal RNA, 240 nt
Filed under: uncultured bacterium
Lineage: Bacteria
Description: partial 16S ribosomal RNA
Rfam family: Bacterial small subunit ribosomal RNA
Source: RNAcentral